Molecule: long non-coding RNA, 457 nt
Filed under: Zea mays
Lineage: Eukaryota; Viridiplantae; Streptophyta; Magnoliopsida; Poales; Poaceae
Description: long non-coding RNA (ZMAY_LNC002343)
Source: RNAcentral
CAUUGUCAAAUAACUCAUACAUAAGUGUACUCUAAAGCCAAUACUAAAUACUAAUUGAAAAACUUGGUUAUCAACUGUUUGCACUAAUAUUGAGCCUAACUAAGUAUAUAUGAAUUCAAGUCUCCACACUUAUGCGGCCACCAAAAAUUGUGUUACAUUCCAUCUUUUCAUGUAAAAUAAAUAGGAGAAGACAAUAAUUAGUAGUUAGACACAUUUGAACACCUCAUAUUGUGACAUGUCACAAAGGUCAUAUAGAUGUGUAUAAAAUGAUAGAAUUAUGCUAGAUUUUGGAUCUAUCAAAAUAACUUACCUUCUCUGAAACUUUGCUGGAAGCAGGCGCGCUGACAAUUGAUGAGACAAUUAUUUUUGCCACAUUUGAGAAAAACUUUCAUUUGGGUCAAGCAGAUUUGACGGACCAAGAAAUAGUAUCUGAAGAAGCAUCCGACACUCUCCCAUC